UCCCUCCGAGUUCGAAAACUCGCAAAUCGACGCAUAAAAUAUAGGGCCUUUUCGCGAAUAAUCCGAUUACUCAAAUCAGCCCCUUCGCGGACUUUUCGCGAUUCCCGAAGAUCCGUCCGUCGGAUUUCCGAUCGGAUCGCACCAGCGCGAUCAGCACGACAGAGGCAUCGAAUCUAGCAUUUCGUUUCGCCCGAAAAGGUUCCCGAUUU
Molecule: long non-coding RNA, 209 nt
Filed under: Ananas comosus (pineapple)
Lineage: Eukaryota; Viridiplantae; Streptophyta; Magnoliopsida; Poales; Bromeliaceae
Description: long non-coding RNA (ACOM_LNC016781)
Source: RNAcentral